AGCGUCAUGCUGCAGGGGUGAAAAUGCCAAUGGCAGGAGCUGAGAACUGGGAGCCUGGGAGGCCUGGGCCUUCGAGGGAAAGUUCCCGGAUAAGAAGCCGGAAGUGAGUAGGGAUUGGCCUUGAAGGGAGGCGGGCGGGCUGGAACUGUGAACUCCCUGCCUGGUCACGGGGUCAUGGCCAGAUUUUCCUCCUGCCAAGAGAACCCCCGGGAGAGCCUGAGGACCACCCCCCGGCCCCCGAGGGCAUUGUAUGGGGACAGAGGCCCUUACGGAGUUCCCCGGGGACUCUGAACAACAAGCAGCCUGGCUGAGUCUGUGGCUUGGCCAACAAAAGGACCUCGGGGGUCGCCGCCCAUCGUCAGGCCGCAGGUUACGUCCUGUAAAGGGGUGAAGGGGAGUCUUAGAGGGCCUCUCCUGCACCCCCAACCCCCCGGGAACAUUGGAACUUGCAUAGCUGCCCCUAAGACGCGUGCUCCAAAGCCUCCACAGAGAAAGAUGCUGUUCCAGGAUGGGUCUGACUCCUUGGUGUGCUCUGUACGUGAUUCAGAUAGGCGUCUUCAAAAUGGACAAGAAAGACUCAGGUUGGUUUGUUUGUUUUGGCUUUUUACUUUAUUCAUUUUUUUAAAAAAUGGAUAAUUGCUUUACAGUCUUCUGUUGGUUUCUGCUGUACAGUGACGUGAAUCAGCUGUAAGUAUACAUAUAUCCUCCUUCUCCAGCCUCCCUCCCACCUUCCCUCCACUCCACCCUGACAGACUGGGGUUGAUGUGCUGAAAUAUUUUGGGUGUGACUGGUCAGUGAGCAGAUACAAAUGUUAAGCAUCAAAAUCUAUAUUCAUAGCAAUUGUCUUUUCCUCAUGAUUUGGAGGCUUUGUUUUCACAACUGUGGGAUGUUUUAGUUGGUGUAUGAGAACCUUGAGGGUCCAGGAGCCUUGGGGGCCAGAAGGUUCUAGUUGAACAGGGGAGUUGGGGGAGAACCCGGGGCCUAGGAGAAGGACUGGGAGCCCAAGGUCUCUGGGAGGACAGUG
RNAcentral lists this long non-coding RNA (1024 nucleotides) under Bos grunniens (domestic yak). RNAcentral describes it as "lncRNA (ENSBGRG00000016501.1)". The record is from RNAcentral. Lineage: Eukaryota; Metazoa; Chordata; Mammalia; Artiodactyla; Bovidae.